This 586-nucleotide ribosomal RNA is filed under the name Glomus sp. DQF17. RNAcentral describes it as "eukaryotic LSU rRNA". It matches the Rfam family "Eukaryotic large subunit ribosomal RNA", at positions 204 to 637 of the family's 3401-position model. The record is from RNAcentral. Lineage: Eukaryota; Fungi; Glomeromycota; Glomeromycetes; Glomerales; Glomeraceae.
CAUGGAGGGUGAGAAUCCCGUCUUUGACUCAGUGCGUGCUACUAUGUGAUACGUUUUCAAAGAGUCGAGUUGUUUGGGAAUGCAGCUCAAAAUGGGUGGUAAAUUUCAUCUAAAGCUAAAUAUUGGCGAGAGACCGAUAGCGAACAAGUACCGUGAGGGAAAGAUGAAAAGAACUUUGAAAAGAGAGUUAAACAGUGCGUGAAAUUGUUGAAAGGGAAACGAUUGAAGCCAGUCGUACCGGCGGAUAAUCAGCCUUUCGAGUGCGAUUCUGUGGAGCGUGAGGAGCUUAAUCGCCUUCACGUCUUGCAUAUUCGUGCACUUUUGGUGUACUUGUCCGUGUGGUGAGUUAACAUCAAUUCCGGUCGUCAUAAAAUGAUUGGAGGAAUGUAGCUUCGAUCUCGUAUCGAAGUGUUAUAGACUCUGGUAGAUGUGACGAUUGGGAUUGAGGAUUGCAACGGAUACCUUUCGGGGCUACCCGUCUGAUCUCUGAAGGUUGCUCCGGUGCCGAAAGCGCGCUUAUGGUCAUCGAAAGUGAUCGUCAAAAGGUUAGAACGGGUUAAAUUCGUUAAGGAUGUUGACGUAAUGG